AUCACAGCCUCGAUAUGAAACUGUGUCACAGUUUGGUCUGUUUCAUCUUCAUUCAAGCACUUCAGGAUGGAAACGCUGAUCUUGCUACUGCUGAAAUUCCCAUCCAUGCAGAAAGGGAGGGAGGAAACAUCACAGUUGGCUGUUCAUUUUCUUUGUCUGGAAGCUUGAGGCUCUUCUGUAAGGAAAAAUGUGAACAAGGAAAAAUUCUCAUUGAAACAACAGAGGACACAGCUCAACAAGGCAGAUACAGCAUUGAAUAUAAAGAAGGAAGCUUUCUAGGAACUAAGACAAUUAUGUAUGCGAGCAUCACAAAGCUGGAAGUGUCUGACUCGGGAGUGUACAGGUGCUCUUUGGGCAGAAUGGGUGUAGAUUUUUUUGAUUCAAACUAUGAAUUUCAGAUCUCUGUCAAAGAAGCCUCCACACCAACAAUGAAGAUGACACCAGAGAGUUCAAUCUCCACUGCUACAUCAUCCUCCACUGAAGCUUUCCACCACUUUCCCACCCAACCUGCAAGUUCAGAUCUGCUGCUAUACACGGGUCUGUUUGUGAUUGUCCUGAUCGCCUUCUUAUCAGCAGCUUUGCUGAUUUUCUGCAAGAGGAGAGCCACUAAACCCAUAAGACCUCCAGUAGAAAAUGUGUACUCCAGCAUCAUAGAUGACAACCAGCUGUAUGAAGAAAUCAGAGAGGAGUUUACACCACUGCCACACGCCCCCAGCCAGAUGGAGUUGAAAGCUCAGAUGACUAAAGCAUCGCCACUUAGAACUUAAAACGGUGUAAGUGGCGUGAUCUUUCAGUUCAGUUCUUUAUAGUGAAUCAGGUAAAAAUAGGAAUAGUCAUUUUUCAGUUCUCAGACACAAAGAUGAAAGUUGUGAAAUAAUUUUUCCCAAUAAACUGUUGACGGUUAAAGAUAUGAACGUUUCUUCUUUAACUGUAAACAGGGUGCACCAAGGUGGCACCGGCCACCACCUCAAAAUUUGCAGGCCUUCCUGCCAAAACUGUCCUGUGAUGGUAAUAAGUUAAAUAAACUUGAGCACAGGAGAGACAAAAACACCCUACAAUGAGUUGAAACAUUAAAUCGUUAUUUAAAGCAAAUUAUUAUAGAUUUCAAAAUCUUAUUUGAUUUUCAUAUUUACCCAUUUUCAGUGAUAUCGACUUUAAUAGCAGGAAAUUAAGUUGACAGCGAUCGUUGCUCAAGAGUUGGCAGUUCGUCUUGUAAUUGGAAGGUUGCCGGUUUGAGCCCCGGCUCAGACAGUCUCGGUCAUUGUGUCCUUGGGCAAGACACUUCACCUACCGCCUGCUGGUGAUGGCCAGAGGGGCC
Astatotilapia calliptera (eastern happy) is the source of this 1318-nucleotide long non-coding RNA. The record is from Ensembl. NCBI's taxonomy places the organism in Eukaryota, Metazoa, Chordata, Actinopteri, Cichliformes, Cichlidae.